This 270-nucleotide long non-coding RNA is filed under the name Setaria viridis. Its description in RNAcentral is "long non-coding RNA (SVIR_LNC000962)". Lineage: Eukaryota; Viridiplantae; Streptophyta; Magnoliopsida; Poales; Poaceae. The record is from RNAcentral.
UUCUUCGAUUGGGCCGACUCUGCUCGUGCCUUGUUGUGUGAAACCUAUAUCCGUUGACGUCAUAACCGGCAAACGACCUGACCCUAUAGUCACAGCCAUCGGCAACCUGUCUCAACUCGACAUUCAUAGACGCAUCGGUUCGGCCCUGCAAGUUCAAACAGGGCGGUUCGUUAUAUUAAUCGUAUGCACGAGAACGAGAAUGUUCGAAGAAAUGAAAUUGUACCUUCUGUUUGAACCAAGAAAUGAAAUCGGGCAUUCCAUUUCCCGCAC